Molecule: ribosomal RNA, 440 nt
Filed under: uncultured bacterium
Lineage: Bacteria
Description: partial 16S ribosomal RNA
Rfam family: Bacterial small subunit ribosomal RNA
Source: RNAcentral
ACUACGGGGAGCAGCAGUGGGGAAUAUUGCACAAUGGGGGAAACACUGAUGCAGCGACGCCGCGUGAGUGAAGAAGGAAUUCGUUAUGUAAAGCUCUAUCAGCAGGGAAGAAAAUGACGGUACCUGAGUAAGAAGCCACGGCUAACUACGUGCCAGCAGCCGCGGUAAUAGGUAGGGGGCAAGCGUUAUCCGGAGUUACUGGGUGUAAAGGGAGCGUAGACGGCAGUGCAAGUCUGGAGUGAAAGGCGGGGGCUCAACCCCCGGACUGCUCUGGAAACUGUACGGCUGGAGUGCAGGAGAGGUAAGUGGAAUUCCUAGUGUAGCGGUGAAAUGCGUAGAUAUUAGGAGGAACACCAGUUGCGAAGGCGGCUUACUGGACUGUAACUGACGUUGAGGCUCGAAAGCGUGGGGAUCAAACAGGAUUAGAUACCCUUGUAGUC